RNAcentral lists this ribosomal RNA (309 nucleotides) under uncultured bacterium. Its description in RNAcentral is "bacterial SSU rRNA". It matches the Rfam family "Bacterial small subunit ribosomal RNA", at positions 28 to 334 of the family's 1533-position model. The record is from RNAcentral.
GAUGAACGCUGGCGGCGUGCUUAACACAUGCAAGUCGAGCGAUGAAGUUUCCUUCGGGGAACGGAUUAGCGGCGGACGGGUGAGUAACACGUGGGUAACCUGCCUCAUAGAGUGGAAUAGCCUUCCGAAAGGAAGAUUAAUACCGCAUAAUGUUGAAAGAUGGCAUCGUCAUUCAACCAAAGGAGCAAUCCGCUAUGAGAUGGACCCGCGGCGCAUUAGCUAGUUGGUGGGGUAACGGCCUACCAAGGCGACGAUGCGUAGCCGACCUGAGAGGGUGAUCGGCCACAUUGGGACUGAGACACGGCCCAA